GUCUGGCUAGCUCAGUUGGUAGAGCAUAUGUCUCUUGAUCUCAAGUUCAUGAGUUCAAGCCCCAUGUUGGGUG
RNAcentral lists this transfer RNA (73 nucleotides) under Ailuropoda melanoleuca (giant panda). It matches the Rfam family "tRNA". From Rfam's summary of the family: Transfer RNA (tRNA) molecules are approximately 80 nucleotides in length. Their secondary structure includes four short double-helical elements and three loops (D, anti-codon, and T loops). The record is from Rfam by way of RNAcentral. Lineage: Eukaryota; Metazoa; Chordata; Mammalia; Carnivora; Ursidae.